CCUACGGGUGGCAGCAGUGAGGAAUAUUGGUCAAUGGACGCGAGUCUGAACCAGCCAUGCCGCGUGCAGGAAGACGGCUCUAUGAGUUGUAAACUGCUUUUGUACGAGGGUAAACGCAGAUACGCGUAUCUGUCUGAAAGUAUCGUACGAAUAAGGAUCGGCUAACUCCGUGCCAGCAGCCGCGGUAAUACGGAGGAUUCGAGCGUUAUCCGGAUUUAUUGGGUUUAAAGGGUGCGUAGGCGGUCGGAUAAGUUAGUGGUGAAAGCCUGAGGCUCAACUGCGGAAGUGCCUCUGAUACUGUUCGGCGAGAGUGUAGUAGCGGUAGGCGGAAUGUAUGGUGUAGCGGUGAAAUGCUUAGAGAUCACACAGAACACCGAUUGCGAAGGCAGCUUACCAAGCUACUACUGACGCUGAGGCACGAAAGCGUGGGGAGCAAACAGGAUUAGAUACCCUUGUAGUC
RNAcentral lists this ribosomal RNA (460 nucleotides) under uncultured bacterium. RNAcentral describes it as "partial 16S ribosomal RNA". It matches the Rfam family "Bacterial small subunit ribosomal RNA", at positions 338 to 795 of the family's 1533-position model. The record is from RNAcentral.